RNAcentral lists this non-coding RNA (115 nucleotides) under Frankia canadensis. Its description in RNAcentral is "TPP". It matches the Rfam family "TPP riboswitch aptamer (THI element)". Rfam says of the family: Vitamin B(1) in its active form thiamin pyrophosphate (TPP) is an essential coenzyme that is synthesised by coupling of pyrimidine and thiazole moieties in bacteria. The previously detected thiamin-regulatory element, thi box was extended, resulting in a new, highly conserved RNA secondary structure, the THI element, which is widely distributed in eubacteria and also occurs in some archaea. The record is from RNAcentral. Lineage: Bacteria; Bacillati; Actinomycetota; Actinomycetes; Frankiales; Frankiaceae.
GGCUUCGUACCGGGGAGCCCGCGGAGGCGGGCUGAGAGGCUGGCCAGGACUGCCGUCGGCGACCCGCAGACCCGAUCGCGGUCAUGCGCGCGUGGGGAGGAUGAUCGUCAUGUCG